Molecule: long non-coding RNA, 159 nt
Organism: Octopus sinensis (East Asian common octopus)
Lineage: Eukaryota; Metazoa; Mollusca; Cephalopoda; Octopoda; Octopodidae
Exons: 3
Source: RefSeq, a predicted model, not a curated record
UCUUCCACGAAAAGAUAGCUUAAACUGUGCUCUAAAUGGAGGUAUAGUCAAAUCCUAUUUUAUAGACUCAACCAUGUUCUAAAAUAAGUCGAAAGGUAAGCUACUAUAAAUCGGCACGAACUUUCCCGACAACCCAAUAUUUCGCUACAUCUGACCAUG